RNAcentral lists this ribosomal RNA (5202 nucleotides) under Chloroflexota bacterium. Its description in RNAcentral is "Chloroflexi bacterium (hydrothermal vent metagenome) 23S ribosomal RNA". The stretch from base 1 to 4221 matches the Rfam family "Bacterial large subunit ribosomal RNA". Lineage: Bacteria; Bacillati; Chloroflexota. The record is from RNAcentral.
AAUGAAGCUACUAAGGGCACACGGUGGAUGCCUUGGCACCAAGGGCCGAAGAAGGGCGUGGCUGGCUGCGAUAAGCCUGGGGGAGCCGCCAGCAGGCUGUGAUCCCAGGAUUCCCGAAUGGGGAAACCCGCGUGGGGGAAUGCCCACGCAUCACCGGCUGAAAUUCCGAGUAGGCCGGUGAAGGGAACCGGGGGAACUGAAACAUCUUAGUACCCCGAGGAAAAGAAACCAUUCCCUGAGUAGUGGCGAGCGAAAGGGGAUCAGCCCAAACCGGCGUAACUUAGUGGCCUGCCGGCCUAUGUUACGCCGGGGUUGCGGGGUGCCAGUUGAGGGGCGGCAGCAACCCUCAGGGAGUUACAAAACCGGCGCUUAGCGGAAUGGUCCUGGAAAGGCCAGCCGUAGAGGGUGAAAGCCCCGUACGCGAAAAGCGACCGGUCUCCCGGACUGGCAUUCCCGAGUACCACGGGGCACGUGGAACCCUGUGGGAAGCUGGGUGGACCACCACCCAAGGCUAAAUACCCUUGGUGACCGAUAGUGGACAAGUACCGUGAGGGAAAGGUGAAAAGCACCCCGGUGAGGGGAGUGAAAUAGAACCUGAAACCGUGUGCCUACAAGCAGUCGGAGGGCUAUGCCCGGUCUGUGACCGGGAAGGCCUGACGGCGUGCCUUUUGGAGAAUGAGCCGGGGAGUUACUCUCUGUGGCGAGGUUAAGGCAGACACAGCCGGAGCCGUAGCGAAAGCGAGUCCGAACAGGGCGUUCAGUCGCAGGGAGUAGACCCGAAACCGGGUGAGCUACCCAUGGCCAGGGUGAAGGUGGGGUAACACCCACUGGAGGCCCGAACCGGUUGGCGUUGCAAAGCCAUCGGAUGAGCUGUGGGUAGGGGUGAAAUGCCAAACGAACCCGGAGAUAGCUGGUUCUCCCCGAAAUAGCUUUAGGGCUAGCGUCGCGCGUUCACUACCGGAGGUAGAGCACUGGAUGGGCUAGGGGGCGCGAGCCUACCAAACCCAACCAAACUCCGAAUGCCGGUAGUCUAAAGCGCGGCAGUCGGACUGUGGGGGAUGAGCUCCAUAGUCGAGAGGGAAACAGCCCAGACCGCCAGCUAAGGUCCUCAAGUCCAGGCUAAGUGGGAAAGGAUGUGGGGCUACUGUGACAGCCAGGAGGUUGGCUUAGAAGCAGCCAUCCUUUAAAGAGUGCGUAAUAGCUCACUGGUCUAGUGGCCCUGCGCCGAAAAUUCAACGGGGCUCAAGCCUGGCACCGAAGCUGCGGGUCUCGGUUGCCUACGGCAACCGGGGCAGUAGGGGAGCGUUCUGCGUGCGCAGAAGCCGUACCGCGAGGAGCGGUGGAGCGCGCAGAAGUGAGAAUCCCGGCAUGAGUAGCGUAAAAACACGUGAGAAGCGUGUUCGCCGUAAGCCUAAGGUUUCCGACGGAAGGUACGUCCGCGUCGGGUUAGGCGGGAGCUAAGGCGAGGCCGAAAGGCGUAGCCGAUGCACAGCCGGUUAAUAUUCCGGCCCCACCUGAGCGGAGCGAUGGGGGGACGCAGGAGGGUAGCCCAGCCGGGCGUCGGUCGUCCCGGUGCCAAGCCUGUAGGGCGAUGACGGGAGGAGGCAAAUCCCCUCCCCGAGCCUGAGAGGUGAUGGCGGGCCUUCGGGCCAGAAGUGGGUGAGCCCAUACUGCCGAGAAAAGCCUCUAAGCGUUGAUGCUCAGGUGCCCGUACCGCAAACCGACACCGGUAGGCGGGUGGAGAACACCAAGGCGUUCGGGAGAACCCUCGCUAAGGAACUCGGCAAAUUGCACCCGUAACUUCGGGAGAAGGGUGGCCCCGGUAGGGUGAAGGCCCUCGCGGCCGGAGCCCGAGGGGGUUGCAGAGAGCAGGCCCUGGCGACUGUUUACCAAAAACACAGGUCUCUGCGAACCCGUAAGGGGACGUAUAGGGGCUGACGCCUGCCCAGUGCCGGAAGGUUAAGGGGAGGGCUGAGGCCGUAAGGCGUAGGCCCGAACCGAAGCCCCGGUGAACGGCGGCCGUAACUAUAACGGUCCUAAGGUGGCUGCGCUGCCUGCCCACAGGGUAACCUGUGGGGCAAUACCCGGCUGUAUGCGGGAACACCCUUAGAGCCCUGUCUACCAGGGGAGAUUACCUCCCCGGUAACAAUGGCAGGGAUUGGGCAACCCGCAGGAAACCCACCUCCAGGUGGGGAUCCUCAGAGACUAUACGCCGGGCAUCCGACCUGAAGGAGUCAUGAUCAUGGACUUGUCUCCAGAUUGGGUGGUGGGUUUUGUCGACGGAGAAGGAUGCUUCUAUGUCGGUAUCAAUCCCCACCCAGAGAUGAGCACCGGAUACCAGGUCCUUCCUGAAUUCCGCAUCGUCCAGCACGAACGGGAUAUCCAGGUGCUCUACGCCCUCAAGCGCUUCUUCCGGUGUGGCGUUGUCCGCCGCAACCGGGAAGACCGCUACGAACUUCGCAUUCGCAAACUCUCCUGUUUGCUCCAGGUGGUGGAUUUCUUUGAACGCCACCCCCUGAAAACGAAGAAGAACGUGGAUUUCCAAAAAUUCGCACGUAUCGUGCGUUGGAUGUCCGAGGGCAAACACCUGGAACGGGAAGGACUCAUCCGCAUCGUCGAACUGGCCAUGACCAUGAACCGGGCCGACAAGCCUAAGGCCCAGAAGAUCUUGCACGAUCUGAAGCAACAGGUCGGAUGAAGAUAUAGUCCACCCCUGGCGGAAACGUCAGGAACAAGGUGAGCGAAAUUCCUUGUCGGGUAAGUGAAGAACUUGCCCCGCCAUCCCGUGAGGGAUGGCAGCACGCCGGCUCAUAUCGGAGAAGCCCUCCUGCGCUAGCGGGGCGCAGUGGGUAACUCCGAGGGAAGUCGCCCCACCAUGUGGGGUUGACCCCGUAACGACUGACCCGAAAGGGGAGGCGCACACACCUCCGGUGCGCAACACGCCGGCUCUCACUCCCGUGCCCAGCACGGGCCUGAGAACAGGGGGCAACUACGGAGGCAUCCUUCAAAAACGGAGGUCGUGUGAUACAGCGACUACAUCCGUGGUACGUGACAGGUCUGGUGGAAGGAGAGGGUACCUUUUCGGUGAGUUUCAACAAACGGUCUCGGUUGUCCGUGGGUAUUGAAACUCGACCUUCCUUCUCGGUGACUCUCCACCGACGGGACCUGCCACUCCUGAAAGCAUUACGAGCCUUCUUUGGAUGCGGGGCGAUUCGGUACAGCCGCUCUGACGGCACCUACAAAUACGAGGUGCGGUCGGUGGCGGACCUGGCCAAGAAAAUCGUCCCUCAUUUCGAGAAGUACCCGUUGGCCGGAGCCAAAGGGGAAGACUUCCGCAAGUUCGCCGAAAUUGUGCGCUUGGUUCAUGCCAAGCACCACUUGAAUCGGCAGCACUUGCGGCACAUUAUCGAGUUAGCCUACUCGAUGAACCCCUCCGGCAAGCGGAAAUACGAGAAGGAUGACCUCCUACGGUUGCUCGGUGAGAUGAAGGUAUAGUCUGCGCCCUAUGGAAACAUAGGGGAAAAGCGAAGUUCCGACCCGCACGAAAGGCGUAACGACUGGGGCACUGUCUCGGCGAGGGACCCGGUGAAAUUGAAGUAGGAGUGAAGAUGCUCCUUACCCGCAGCAGGACAAAAAGACCCCGUGGAGCUUUACUGCAGCUUGGCAUUGAGUCAUGGCUUAGCCUGUAUAGGAUAGGUGGGAGGCUGUGAAGCCGGGGCGCCAGCCUCGGUGGAGCCGCCGGUGGAAUACCACCCUGGCUAAGUCGUGGCCCUAACCCCACGCCGUUAUCCGGGUGGGGGACAGUGCCUGGUGGGCAGUUUGACUGGGGCGGUCGCCUCCUAAAAGGUAACGGAGGCGCCCAAAGGUCCCCUCAGGUGGAAUGGAAACCCACCGUCGAGUGUAAAGGCAUAAGGGGGCUUGACUGCAAGGCCUACAAGCCGAGCAGGUGCGAAAGCAGGGCUUAGUGAUCCCACGGUUCCGUGUGGAAGGGCCGUGGCUUAACGGAUAAAAGCUACCCCGGGGAUAACAGGCUGGUCUCGCCCAAGAGUUCACAUCGACGGCGAGGCUCGGCACCUCGAUGUCGGCUCGUCCCAUCCUGGGGCUGGAGCAGGUCCCAAGGGUUGGGCUGUUCGCCCAUUAAAGGGGUACGUGAGCUGGGUUCAGACCGUCAAACGGGGCGGCCUUGCACGGGUAACCGGCAAGGACAAACCGGCUCAUAACGGGGAAGCCCUCCGGCCUUCCGACCAGGCGACUGAGGGUAAUCCCGUGGGAAGGUGGAAGGUAUGGAUGAAAGCCGUUGGGCUUACAUCGCUGGGUUUCUGGAUGGAGAUGGCAGCGUCAUCCUCCAGCUGAAACCCAGGGCUGACUACCGAUAUGGUUUUCAAAUCAAAUCGACUGUCAGCUUCUUUCAAAGCGCUCAAGGCAAAGAUGUCCUGCUCUGGUUGUACAAGACCAUAGGGUAUGGGCGGUUGAGACAACGAAACGAUGGCAUCUGGGAGUACAACAUUGAAGGAUGGCAACCUGUGUUGCAUUUCUUGCGAAAAAUUCGCCCGUAUGUCGUGGCGAAGGAAAAACAGGUUGUCACUGCAAUAGAACUCCUGGAGGAGAUGUUGCAAACGCCUAAACCCACACCAGAGCAGUUCCUUGAGUGGGCCCAACGAGUGGAGUCCUAUCAAACCCUAAACUACUCCAAGAAGCGCAAAUACACCGUAGAGGAUGUCAGGCGCUUCUUGAGUGGCAAGGGUCUCCUUCCAUCCCCGUAGAGACUGAGGCCGCAAGGCCGAGGCUCUGCCUCCCCACCGUCAAGGUGGCAAACUAUAGGCAGGGCAAUACGCCGGGCUCCUCGAAAGGGGAGUGUGGUAUAGUCCACCCCUGAGGAAACUCAGGAUUAAGGUGCGUGAGACAGGUCGGUCUCUAUCCGCUGCGGGCGUAGGUGACUUGAGGGGAGCUGCCCCUAGUACGAGAGGACCGGGGUGGACGGACCUCUGGUGUGCCAGUUGUCCCGCCAGGGGCACCGCUGGGUAGCCAUGUCCGGAUGGGAUAACCGCUGAAAGCAUCUAAGUGGGAAGCCCACCCCAAGAUUAGGUCACCCUCCGGGUUAACCGGGUAAGGCCACUGGGAGACGACCAGUUUGAUAGGCGGCAGGUGUAAGCGGGGUAACCCGUUGAGCUGAGCCGUACUAAUGGCCGAGCGGCUUCAUUC